AUGAUACGCGGGGCCCAAGCCCACCAAAUAAAUAACAACCCAAGAGCAUGGAGAAGGGUAAAGUGGACAUUGCUACAUAAGGAGGGGUGUGCCUAUCAUAAAAGGGGGCGACAUUAGUGUUUACUUUUCCAUAGGCACAUANCAUAUUUUACAUGUGUUUAAUAANGCUNUCUAGAAGCCACCCACAUUUAGCACAUGGUUGAUUAGCUGGAAUGAGAUCCGUAAAGUGUGGAUCUGAUUUCUUCCCAUGCAUAGCCGAGAGGUUGAGCUAUAAAACCUCCUUGGCAUAGCUUGUAUCAAUCACUUUUGGAAUAAUAUUGUUGAAACUCUGCUGAAAUGAUUAGCAAGUUCCUCUCCAAGAGUCAUCUUCCUAGCUUAUCUUCCAUUGCAACUUUCUUCCAUUUCAUGGGAGCCUUCUGAGUUGUGAUUCAUUUCUCUAAGCUAACCUCCAUCUCCCUUCAUCAUAACUUCACUACUUCCGCUGCUUACCAUCCAAAAAUCUCCAGCAACUUCACAUUGCCGAGAGCCUCCAGAUCUGGCAUUGCUUCUGCAGUGUACUGUUCCAUUGGAGUGCUUCAACUGUGCUGCUUCAUUCAGCCUCUGAUCUCACGGAUCUACAAGCUACAUCAUGCCUUGAUGUAUCAAGUGGUAUUCAGAGCAUAGGUUCUAACUUGAACNGUGAGAUAAGUGGCUCCUUCUUUCAUUUCCAAACUGUCAUUCAAUUUCUGCUAUGUCUUGUUGUUUUUCUGAAUUCUGUUUCUGUUUCAGCAUCUAUGAUGUGUUUAGGCUUCUAUGUUUUGAGUUUUAUUGAUACCAGCUGUGUUUGCUUGAGUCUUUAUCAUUUUCAUUCGGUUUUCCUUACUGAUUUUGAGUCAUUUACAUGAUUUAACCAUCAUUCCAGUUUUGUUUGAAGUCAUGUCAGUUUGAUUGCUUUUACUGUCUUUGCAUCUGGUUUUUCAACCAAGUUUUACCAAAAUCAAAGUGUUGGAUGUGGCUACACCGAUUAAGAGCAGUGAAUUGAUAUGAGAUGAGCUCAGGUGUUUAAAUUUUGGCCAACCAAAACCAGAUCUGUUUCAGGUGUUGAAUUCUGUUUUUAAGAGAAUUGGCUGCAGCACGUUAAUAUCAUUUGGUAACUUCAGAGUUACUGUUUCAUUGAACAACAGCUGCUUGAAUUAAUACCUAAACCCUUAGUUUUGAUUUCCAAUUGGUUUUAAUAUUGAAAUGUCCAGUGGUAAAGCCUAAAUGCAGUAAACCGAUCUGCAUCUUAUCUUUGUUUAACAAAUUCUGCAUAAUUUGAGUUGGAUUGGUACUAGAUCAUUGCCAAUCAUUCUAAAAUUGAUUCUGCUGUUUUGAGCAACUCUCAAAUACCAUUUUCAACUCAUCCAUACUGUUUUCAACUCAGAACUAAAGCUAAUCUGCAUUUUGACCAUUGGAGUUGUGAAUUUGAGUGAAAAUUGGUACUGCACUAGGCAUAUUCUGUUAUAUGUUAUUUUGAUCCAUCAAAUCUGAUGCAACAAGUCUUAAUUCACUAUUGAAACAUGUUUGAAUCAUUGGCAUGAGUAUACAAGCAGUACUGUGCAUUUGGUAUAUAGUAAGGGUCAAUUUUACUGGUCAGAAUUGGUUGUGACCGAGAGCUCUGCCUCAAAGUUUUUACACUUGCAUUGAUUUUCUGUUUGAUUCAAUAAGAAUGGAUGUAGCAAAAGCCUUUGGUCCAUAAAAUAUCAAAAUAACAAUUCCAAAAGAGUUAUUAAAGCAUUAAAAGGCAGAAUAGGACCAGUGCAUCCUGUUUUCGAAAAUCUGAUCUGCACAUUGAGUUUUUGCUGUCAAAUUUAUGCAAGUUCAUUGAGACCUUUUAUCAAACAAUUUGGUCCAAUCUUAGAGCAUAGCUUAUUCGUGCUUAAUUCUGAGUGCUAGUCUUUUCUUGUGUUAUUAAUCUGUUCUAGAGCCAAUCCUAAGAUCAUUUUGAAGUGCCACCGUGAUUGAUAUCCAUUUAAUUGCUUGCUUUUUGAUUUUUGAACACUCUGCAC
RNAcentral lists this long non-coding RNA (2027 nucleotides) under Vigna radiata. RNAcentral's name for it is "long non-coding RNA (VRAD_LNC006466)". The record is from RNAcentral. Lineage: Eukaryota; Viridiplantae; Streptophyta; Magnoliopsida; Fabales; Fabaceae.